GAUGAACGCUGGCGGCGUGCCUAAUACAUGCAAGUCGAACGAGGUGCUUUUGUAGCAAUACGAGAGUAUCCUAGUGGCGAACGGGUGAGUAACGCGUUGGUGACCUACCCCAAAGUGUGGGAUAACAGUCCGAAAGGAUUGCUAAUACCGCAUGUGGUCUUCGGAUUUAGAAACUGAUGACUAAAGGAGCAAUUCGCUUUGGGAGGGACCUGCGUCCCAUCAGCUAGUUGGUGAGGUAAUGGCUCACCAAGGCUACGACGGGUAGGGGACCUGAGAGGGUGACCCCCCACAAUGGAACUGAAACACGGUCCAUACACCUACGGGUGGCAGCAGUAGGGAAUAUUGCACAAUGGCGAAAGCCUGAUGCAGCAACGCCGCGUGUGCGAUGAAGGCCUCGGUCGUAAGCACUUUCUUGGGAGAGUGAGCAAGGACAGUAUCUCAGGAAUAAGUACUCGGCUAACUACGUGCCAGCAG
This 474-nucleotide ribosomal RNA is filed under the name uncultured bacterium. RNAcentral's name for it is "bacterial SSU rRNA". It matches the Rfam family "Bacterial small subunit ribosomal RNA", at positions 28 to 514 of the family's 1533-position model. The record is from RNAcentral.